AUAACUUGGACAAUUAGCGAUAAGAAGUGUUUUUCCAUCACAGAAGCAGAUAUUGAUUCGCCCAACAUAAAACAGUUUGUAAAUAUGUUGAAUAACCAGAAAAUCGUGCUUUAUGAAAAAUAAUCGCUAGCUCAAUGCUAACUGUAACGCCUGGAGACAAAACAUGUUGUAGAGAUAUACCUUAGUGUUGAAAUCUUUUAAUCUUGUACUUCUGAGAUAAAGCGUGAGACAUUUUAAACAUGUUCACGGAUGAAACUCUUGCUUUAAUUGGCGCUGAAUCGACAUGGAGAAAGUCACACCAGCAAACGCAAGAAUCGAGAAGCUGUCAAACUCUUCCAGUUCACACAAGCCAAAGAUGUGUUAGACAGCAGCACCAGUACAGAAGACCAGAUCAGUCAAACACUCCCCCAAGAUCAAAACAUCUCUCACUUUCCUGGUGUCUGCACUUCUUGUAUAGAGCUGAAGACGUAGUUACCAAAGAACUGGUGAAAAGCUCCAAGAGUCAUGCUUUUUGAUGGGUUUGAGGUUAACUGUGAGGAUCACAGUCGGUGAGAGCCUUGAAUGCAAAA
Carassius carassius (crucian carp) is the source of this 569-nucleotide long non-coding RNA. RefSeq lists it as uncharacterized. The record is from RefSeq and is a predicted model, not a curated record. The transcript has 3 exons. Lineage: Eukaryota; Metazoa; Chordata; Actinopteri; Cypriniformes; Cyprinidae.